Molecule: ribosomal RNA, 429 nt
Filed under: Chloroflexota bacterium
Lineage: Bacteria; Bacillati; Chloroflexota
Description: Chloroflexi bacterium partial 16S ribosomal RNA
Rfam family: Bacterial small subunit ribosomal RNA
Source: RNAcentral
UGGGGAAUAUUGCACAAUGGGCGCAAGCCUGAUGCAGCCAUGCCGCGUGUAUGAAGAAGGCCUUCGGGUUGUAAAGUACUUUCAGUCGGGAGGAAGGUGGUAAGGUUAAUAACCUUAUCAAUUGACGUUACCGACAGAAGAAGCACCGGCUAACUCCGUGCCAGCAGCCGCGGUAAUACGGAGGGUGCAAGCGUUAAUCGGAAUUACUGGGCGUAAAGCGCACGCAGGCGGUUGAUUGAGUCAGAUGUGAAAUCCCCGGGCUUAACCCGGGAAUUGCAUCUGAUACUGGUCAGCUAGAGUCUUGUAGAGGGGGGUAGAAUUCCAUGUGUAGCGGUGAAAUGCGUAGAGAUGUGGAGGAAUACCGGUGGCGAAGGCGGCCCCCUGGACAAAGACUGACGCUCAGGUGCGAUAGCGUGGGGAGCAAACAGG